Small nucleolar RNA from Myotis lucifugus (little brown bat), 100 nucleotides. Ensembl annotates it as small nucleolar RNA U13. The record is from Ensembl. NCBI's taxonomy places the organism in Eukaryota, Metazoa, Chordata, Mammalia, Chiroptera, Vespertilionidae.
AUCCUUUUAUAGUUCAUAAGCAUAUUGGGUGUUCGUGCUUCUGUGUGAGAUGUGCCUCCCACGAAUCUUGUUAUUCCUUUGGCACAUUACCCAUCUGAUG